UUCUUCUGUAAGUUGCACAUUCAGUAAAAUUAUUCAUGCUUUAUAUGAUGUUGUGAUGUGGAAUACUGAUAGCAAAAUUACAAAAUUAUUAAACCAUGACACAUGUAAACCAUAUAUAGGUUGUGAGUAAGUUUUACCAAGCAAGACUGUAGCUGCUGAGAGUCUGAGAAAGGACUUUUAAUGGAAUAAGGAAAAUAUCUCCUAAAUCAAUAUAGCAAAGAGAGCAAGUUUUUUGUUUUUUGUUUUGGUUUUUUUUUUUACUCAUUAUCUUCUAUUUAAAGAAUCGUUUAAGUGUAUUCCAUGUACCUCCUAAAGUUUUGGGGAUUUAUUGCUGAAAAUGUCUGGCACUUAUGUUUGGUGACCCUAUAAGAUACUUUUAUGUUAAUCUUUCUCAAAAGGGAGUGUGCUUCUGCAAACAGUUAUGUGCAGGGUGAGGCUACAUGCAAAGCUUAACCCAGGUCCCAGUUGCAAACAUUCAGGCUCAAGCUUGAACUCCUUUGUCUAAUUACGCUUUCUCAGAGGGCUGCUGUAAAGCAUAAUUCAUUGAUUUUAGAGGGGUCUUGAAUGGACUUGUAGGUAUCUCUCCACAUCUAUUGCUUUUAAUUUAGGCUUUCUAAAAGGCCUCAUUCUCAUUGGACUAAUUCUCAUUCUCUGGCCAAGUUUUCUGUGCCCUUAGUGGAUCAGAACAUUGCUAGCUGUAGCAUUUUGACAUGUAGAUGCGUGGAAAGCACUGCUCCCACACUUUUUUACUUUCUCUUCCAAGGAAUAAAAUGAAGAAUUUGAUAAUGGAGUUGGUGGUACUUCCACUUUUGUAAAUGGAUGUGGAAGAAGCUGCUAUUGCAACAAGUCCCUCCAUCUGUGAACCCAGCAAGGUGUUUUGGGCAGACACGUUCUCAUAACCUUUGUGCGCCUUCGGCUUUGGAGGUCCUAAAGCUGCUAUUGUUCAGUCAGUUUCCAAGCUCAAGAAGAAUGUUUUCUUCAUAAAGAAUAUGUUAAAUAUUACCAGAAUUUCAGCAUCAGUUUUAUAUUUCAGGCAUACGAUUUGGCAUGUUCUGUAGAUGACGAUACAUAGCUUUUAAGUUAUGAUUUAAUUUAGAUUUUUUAAAUUAAAAAAG
This 1115-nucleotide long non-coding RNA is filed under the name Coturnix japonica (Japanese quail). RNAcentral's name for it is "lncRNA (ENSCJPG00005021017.1)". Lineage: Eukaryota; Metazoa; Chordata; Aves; Galliformes; Phasianidae. The record is from RNAcentral.